CUACGGGCCGCUCCAGUGAGGAAUAUUGCACAAUGGGGGGAACCCUGAUGCAGCAACGCCGCGUGGAGGAUGACGCAUUUCGGUGUGUAAACUCCUUUUAUAUGUCAAGAAAAUGACGGUAGCAUAUGAAUAAGCACCGGCUAACUCCGUGCCAGCAGCCGCGGUAAUACGGAGGGUGCAAGCGUUACUCGGAAUCACUGGGCGUAAGGGACGCGUAGGCGGGUUAGAAAGUCAGGUGUGAAAUCCUACAGCUUAACUGUAGAACUGCACUUGAAACUUCUAAUCUAGAGUAUGGGAGGGGGAGAUGGAAUUAGUGGUGUAGGGGUAAAAUCCGUAGAUAUCACUAGGAAUACCUAAAGCGAAGGCGAUCUCCUGGAACAUUACUGACGCUAAGGCGUGAAAGCGUGGGGAGCAAACAGGAUUAGAUACCCGCGUAGUC
Molecule: ribosomal RNA, 439 nt
Filed under: uncultured bacterium
Lineage: Bacteria
Description: partial 16S ribosomal RNA
Rfam family: Bacterial small subunit ribosomal RNA
Source: RNAcentral